CUAACGAGGAUUUCCUUAGUAACGGCGAGUGAAAAGGAAUAAGCCCAGCGCUGAAUCUAUCUGGCUGCUUGUUGGAUGGAAAUGUAGCGUAUAGGUGGAACUAUCCGUCGAUUUCUUACACCCAAAGUCCCCUUGAGCGGGGCUACAGUCCAUAGAAGGUGCUAGACCUGUACGGGUGAGGAAAGCGUAUGCGGUAGGUUUUACCUUGGAGUCGGGUUGUUUGAGAUUGCAGCCCAAAGAGGGUGGUAAACCUCAUCUAAGGCUAAAUACGGCCACGAGACCGAUAGCAAACAAGUACCGUGAGGGAAAGUUGCAAAGAACUUUGAAGAGAGAGUUCAAGAGGGCGUGAAACCGCUGGGAUGGAAACGGAUAGAGUUAACGAAACUUGCCGAUAUUCAACCGAUCAAUUUGGCAAUCCUACGGUUUGGUACUACCUUUUUGAUGAGCUAAUUAUUUGGAAGGGGCUGAAACGUGGGUGAAUGGUGCCGAAUAAGGUGGUAUAUCACCACCGUGAUUGGUGUAUUUAUCGGUGGUAUGCACCGAGAGUUCCGUCUUUACGCUGAUUAGGCAUUGGUUCAGUGGACCCUGGCAAUAAUUGACAGGGAAACCUGGAUGAAUGUGUAGUAAAAUAUCAUGUCGUCGAUGGAAUGUUUUGGAGCCCGUGCAACAUCGUUGAUCUUUUCAACGCAUGCAUCGGUUACCCUUUCAUUGGUGGCAUUUUGUUGUGGUCGCGUGCGACUUACGCUGAAUGGUGCGUGGAUGAAAUGGUGACAUGAUGACGAAAGGGUUGCAUCUCGGUGUGAACGUUAAUCACCUAUCUGACCCGUCUUGAAACACGGACCAAGGAGU
Molecule: ribosomal RNA, 849 nt
Filed under: Ochoterenella sp. 1 EL-2015
Lineage: Eukaryota; Metazoa; Nematoda; Chromadorea; Rhabditida; Onchocercidae
Description: eukaryotic LSU rRNA
Rfam family: Eukaryotic large subunit ribosomal RNA
Source: RNAcentral